GACCCCGGCCAAACUGGGGUUUGUGGCUUCAGUUUGUGCAGAAAGGAACCUCAGGAUUAGGCAGCAUAAAGCAGAGCUGGGUUUUCCUAAGGAUGUUCUAAUAUAGAUCUAAGCAGAAGGGUUAAGAGAAAGCAGUCAGAAGGAUGCACUCAGGUGUGAGUGUGGCUCACCAAGGGAGAGCAGUCUGCAAACACCUUAGUCAUACGUACCAGCCACAUACACCAACCAUACCAUUUUGAUGACUUUCAAAUUACAUGUCAGAAGGUUGCUAAGAAAACUUGUUUUUUCCCUUUCCUAUCUCUUCUGCUAAGUGGGAUUUCAGGAUGGCUUUGGAGCUGCCCUGGAAGGAACUAGAAGCCGAUAUAGUCAAACCAGGUUGUAUUAGGGUUGCACAGGGGGAUGGGACAGGCCCUUUCCCUGUAAAUUGCAAUUCUGGGGAGAUUCCUAGAGAGUUACAGGUUAAGCCAGAAAGGGAGCAGGCCUUAAGCAGCGGUUAAGCUGCUCUGGCAUUCUUGCUGCUCUGAUGACAGAGCUGCCAACCAGAUUCUUAGGUGAGGUACUGCUUUCAUGACCCAUGGUUUUUGCUGUUUUUGUCUACUGGCUUGCUUAUCAGCUGGAAAAAUUAAUGUUAAUGCCAUUUGGUGGUGCCUAAUAAAUAUAUACCAAAUCCAGUA
This 674-nucleotide long non-coding RNA is filed under the name Rattus norvegicus (Norway rat). RNAcentral describes it as "long non-coding RNA NONRATT012703". Lineage: Eukaryota; Metazoa; Chordata; Mammalia; Rodentia; Muridae. The record is from RNAcentral.